UACAGAGGGUGCGAGCGUUAAUCGGAAUUACUGGGCGUAAAGCGCGCGUAGGCGGCUUUGCAAGUCGGGUGUGAAAUCCCCAGGCUUAACCUGGGAACUGCAUUCGAGACUGCAUUGCUAGAGUAUGGGAGAGGGAAGUGGAAUUUCCGGUGUAGCGGUGAAAUGCGUAGAUAUCGGAAGGAACAUCAGUGGCGAAAGCGACUUCCUGGACCAAUACUGACGCUCAUGUGCGAAAGCGUGGGGAGCAACCAGG
This 253-nucleotide ribosomal RNA is filed under the name uncultured bacterium. RNAcentral's name for it is "partial 16S ribosomal RNA". It matches the Rfam family "Bacterial small subunit ribosomal RNA", at positions 524 to 776 of the family's 1533-position model. The record is from RNAcentral.